UUUGGUGAUGAUGGCGGAAGGGAACCACGCGUACCCAUCCCGAACACGACCGUUAAGCCUUCCAGCGCCGAUGGUACUUGGACCGCAGGGUCCUGGGAGAGUAGGACAUCGCCAAGC
Molecule: ribosomal RNA, 117 nt
Filed under: Paenibacillus elgii
Lineage: Bacteria; Bacillati; Bacillota; Bacilli; Caryophanales; Paenibacillaceae
Also listed under: 1 other name
Source: RNAcentral